CGUAGGUGGCAAGCGUUGUCCGGAUUUAUUGGGUUUAAAGGGUGCGUAGGCGGUCUUUUAAGUCAGUGCUGAAAUACUCCAGCUUAACUGGAGGGGUGGCAUUGAUACUGGAAGACUUGAGUAUAGUUGAGGUAGGCGGAAUUGACGGUGUAGCGGUGAAAUGCUUAGAUAUCGUCAAGAACACCGAUAGUGAAGACAGCUUACUAAACUAUAACUGACGCUGAGGCACGAAAGUGUGGGGAUCAAACAGGAUUAGAUACCCUGGUAGUCCACACUGUAAACGUUGAUGACUCGCUGUGUGCGAUAUACAGUACGCGGCUAAGCGAAAGCGAUAAGUCAUCCACCUGGGGAGUACGCCGGCAACGGUG
This 368-nucleotide ribosomal RNA is filed under the name uncultured organism. RNAcentral's name for it is "bacterial SSU rRNA". It matches the Rfam family "Bacterial small subunit ribosomal RNA", at positions 526 to 896 of the family's 1533-position model. The record is from RNAcentral.